Molecule: unclassified non-coding RNA, 528 nt
Filed under: uncultured Glomeromycotina
Lineage: Eukaryota; Fungi; Glomeromycota
Description: SSU rRNA
Rfam family: Eukaryotic small subunit ribosomal RNA
Source: RNAcentral
AGCAGCCGCGGUAAUUCCAGCUCCAAUAGCGUAUAUUAAAGUUGUUGCAGUUAAAAAGCUCGUAGUUGAAUUUCGGGAUUGACGUGAUGGUCGUGCCUUAAGGGGUAUGAACUGUCGCAGUUGAUUUCUCACCUUCUGGAGAAGCAUGAUGUCCUUAAUUGGGUGUCAUGUGGAACCAGGACCUUUACCUUGAAAAAAUUAGAGUGUUUAAAGCAGGCAUUUUGCUCGAAUACAUUAGCAUGGAAUAAUAGAAUAGGACGGCAUGGUUCUAUUUUGUUGGUUUCUAGGAUCACCGUAAUGAUUAAUAGGGAUAGUUGGGGGCAUUAGUAUUCAAUUGUCAGAGGUGAAAUUCUUGGAUUUAUUGAAGACUAACUACUGCGAAAGCAUUUGCCAAGGAUGUUUUCAUUAAUCAAGAACGAAAGUUAGGGGAUCGAAGACGAUCAGAUACCGUCGUAGUCUUAACCAUAAACUAUGCCGACUAGGAAUCAGACGAUGUUAAUUUUUUAAUGACUCGUUUGGCACCUUACG